Molecule: long non-coding RNA, 767 nt
Filed under: Rattus norvegicus (Norway rat)
Lineage: Eukaryota; Metazoa; Chordata; Mammalia; Rodentia; Muridae
Description: long non-coding RNA NONRATT031527
Source: RNAcentral
AUACUUCAUUCUUUAUAGGUGCAUAUUCUGCUAUAUACUUUUCAUUCCGUUACAUUACAAUUUAUAUAACAGGCCUUUAUUAGUUGAGGUGUUGAAGCUGGUUUUCCCUAGAAUAUCCCAUCAUUGUGAGAGUUGGCACAUUUACUUUCUUCAGCCACCAUUGAGGGGGCACUACUUCUAGCAACAGUAAUUGCAGAUACUUUCUUCAGUGAUGAUCAUUAGCACUUCUGGAUUGACCCAUUAUAUAUGCUAUCUUUCAUUAGGAAUGAGCAGUAAGCUCUGUAAAGGGGUUGGGUGGAGGAAAGGUGGGUAUUAAUCUGAAUGAUCAGAAACAGUUGACCUACAGGUGGAUCCUCUUUGCUUCCAAAUGCAGGUAGUGCUCAGACGUCAGCAUGAAGACAAGCCCAUCCCACCCCAGACUAUUUUGAAGAAUGGAUUUAGAAUGGAAAUAAUUCGAAAAAAAAUGCUUUCUAGACAAUACGGAGGAAUCGUUUUCCUUUCAGUACACUCAACAAUAACUAAGAUACAAUUGCGGAUUGUUGCUCCAAUCAGUAGAUCUGCUAAAGGAAGUAAGUUAUAAAAGCGCUGUAUGCCGCGUUGCCCCGCCCCGUCCUCCACCCCUCUCCACCCCUCCAUCCCCCACCUCCCUGGCCUCAAGGAGACACAAUAAGGACAAACUACAAAGACCAAAAUUCCGUUCGGUUUUCAACUUCCUCUCCCGCCAAGCUUAGAAGUGACACCCACCUUCACUAAUUUCCUUUGCUGGC